CCUGAACCCAAGAUGACUGGUGUCUUUACAGGAAGAGGAGAGACAGACGCAGAGAGGAGACUCCCAUGUGGUAAAGGAGACACAGGGAAUUUGUAUUGGCAGAGGCAGAGAUUGGAAGGAAGCACCGGGGGAGCCAAAGGAAACUAGGAGAGAAGGAAGGAAGGAUUGUCUCCCGAUGCUCCCAGGAAGCCCAGCCCAGACAUCUGCAGUGUAGACACAGACUCCACAACGUGACAGAAUGUGUUUCUAUUGCUGCCAGCUACCCCGUUUGUGACCAUUUGUUACGGCAGCCCCAGGAAAUGAGUGUGGUCUAUUUUUACCUGUAUCUCCAGUCUUCGUCUGGGGAACGAGGCCGACCAAGAAUCACGGUGCUGUUCAUUUCAGACAUGGGAGCAGAAGACAAGAUUUCAGACUCAUACACACUGCGACCCCAUGCCCGACUUCAAAAAAACAGUGAUUCAUCCAGACACCAAAGCUCAGCAGCUCAGAGUCAACCUCAAAUAUAGUCAAAGCUCACCAAGUGCUCCCCCAAGAAAAAUAGAACCUAAGUGCCUGACGACCUUUACCGCAGGUAAAAGAGCGGCUGGACUGUCCUGAUUUCAUCGCACCUACAUUAGCGUGUCAACAGGCCCUCGCAAUUCCCAACGAUCCCACUGGGCUUCUUUAUCAUUGAUUACCUGUCCAGUGCCACACAUUUCUACAAAUGCACUCUCUUUUCUUUACGGCUGCAAUGCAGGACCAUUAAAAUCGGGUGUAGGUGUUCAUUAAAAUCGGGCUGAUU
This 781-nucleotide long non-coding RNA is filed under the name Vulpes vulpes (red fox). Its description in RNAcentral is "lncRNA (ENSVVUG00000018868.1)". Lineage: Eukaryota; Metazoa; Chordata; Mammalia; Carnivora; Canidae. The record is from RNAcentral.